This 255-nucleotide ribosomal RNA is filed under the name uncultured bacterium. RNAcentral describes it as "partial 16S ribosomal RNA". It matches the Rfam family "Bacterial small subunit ribosomal RNA", at positions 524 to 778 of the family's 1533-position model. The record is from RNAcentral.
UACGGAGGGUGCGAGCGUUGUCCGGAAUCACUGGGCGUAAAGGGUGCGUAGGUGGCGUGGUAAGUCUGGUGUGAAAUCCCGGGGCUCAACCCCGGAACUGCACUGGAUACUGCCAUGCUUGAGUACUGGAGAGGAGAUUGGAAUUUACGGUGUAGCAGUGAAAUGCGUAGAUAUCGUAAGGAAGACCAGUGCGAAGGCGAAUCUCUGGACAGUUACUGACACUGAGGCAGCGAAGGCCAGGGGAGCAAAACGGGG